UCAGCUGGCUCCCAGCUGACUCAGAAUCCACAAGAAUAAAUGAUUAUUAUUUUAAGCCACCGAAUUUUGAGGUUGGUUAUGCAGUAUUUUUGUGACAUUAGCUAACUGAUAGACCAUGCCAUAGAAACGCCUGCUAUCAAGAUAAAUAGAUGACUGACGACUGGGAGUCAUGAAAAGGCUCAGGCUCCACCUGCCAAGGGUUGCUCGACUUAGCAAAUAAAAAUACAGGACCCAGAUAAAUGUAAAUUUCAGAAAAUCAUCAAAUAAUUUUUUAGUAUAGGUAUGUCCCACGCAACAUUUCGGAAAUACUUACACUAAACAAUUAAUGCUUAUUUGAAUUACACACUUAACUGGCAUCCUCUAUUUUAUCUGGCAAUUCUAUUCUGGUAGAUUUCCAAGAGUCGCACUCUGCAGAAAGCACCUAUGCGUAAAAAUGGGCCUGAGCUAGAGAAUCAGAGAUGAAAACAGGAAGUCAUCUCCUCUACCCUCCAUCAGGCUUUAAGUCUCUGAGGCAGACUUUCCUAGAGGGACUGAGUCAGAGAAAAAGCUGCCUAAAAUGUUAAGAAAGUGCAGGCUUGCCAGUGGUUGGGAGAAGUCUCUUUCAGCUUUAUUAUUUAACCACCUUAAAAUCGGCGGUGCAUCAGGGAGCCCUGUCUUCCCUGGUUUCGGCAGCCUGUGGUUCCACAGAGAGCAUCCCUCCAAACCAUCUGAAUCCUGCAUCCCUUUCACUGGAUCCAAGAAGCGUUUCCUGGGUUACUGCACCAUCUGUCUCUGAGGUACCUGCAAGGGAAAGACACUGUGGGGGUGGCGAGAAAGGGACUGCAGACGGCCCAGGAGGGGACUGUGCAGGGACUGUUUGUCAAGGAGUCGGGCCAGCUAAUGAGUGACCAGUGAAGCCAGGGGGCUGGAUGAAAUCGGAGAGAAGAAAUCGAACACCACGGAGGUGAGAGUGCAGAAGAGCUACCACGUGGGAACUCAGUCCGCCCUCCACCUUCAUCUGUCUCUUUAGCAGAUUCGGACAAGCCACUGUUUUUGGCUUUGCACAGACUAGUUGGCUGUUUUCAUGAAUAAUCUCCAACUCAAUCCGGGAAGAAAUUCCACGCUGUCCGCCAGCAGCACAGAUUGUUGCAGGAAAAAUGACACAACUUCAUCCUCUGGGCAAACUUGAAAAUUAUUACAAAUUUCCCCAUCUCUCCUCCACUUGCACAGCUGGCUGUAGAAGGGUGUCAGUUUUUCCAUGGAGAUAGGAGACUUUUUCUCCGUGUGAUUUCUCGUGAUCAGACAAAUCCCUAUGGCCCUUUGUUUACUUUCAUCCUGGGUCCCUUUCCCCUGACACUGAGGUAGAAGCUGUGCAGGCUCUGCUCCUGAGCACUUCUCAGGACUCAGGUAGCAAGCUCGCCUACGCAUGGCCUUGGUGCAAAGAUGGAUUCCAGAAAGGGACACCGACCAGCUAAAAUUCUGCACCUCCAGAUAAAUGACACCAUGAAAACCAAAUGUGCAUAAUGUGGUCAUCAGGGCAGCACAGUUUUGACAUAAACCACAUCCAGCUUGUCUGAGGACCAGGGUUGACCUAACCACCGAUAACUCUGUCUGUGACCGCUGACAGUACUAGAACUCAGCUUUUUCCAGGUAUGCAGGCUCCCACUCACAUGUUGCUUGUAGAUUUCAUAGACUCUCUCCCACUUGGAUCCAAUUCAGUGAAUAAUUCUUGAAUCCCUAUGGCGCUCAUCACACCGUGCUAGGCUCCAGGGGAAUACAAUAAUUAAUAAGGGUCUAGCUUCAGGCAUUUUGCUGUUUGGAAGGAAAAGAGAUCUACAAAUCGCUAUAAAUGUGAGAAGAGACUAAAAAGGACCUGCACGGUUGUAGCGACCAUGGAAGGAGGGGAUAUGGAGAGAUGGUCCUUGGCAGGGAAGGCCUAGGUGUUCUCAUGGAGGAGGCAGCAUUUGAGCAGGGCCAUAAAGGGCUUUAGCGAUGGCCUCUGGGAGGUCAGGAAAGGCACCAGGAUGAGCAAAGGUGUGGAGGGAGGGUGACCGCUAAGCACAGGGUUUGUAGGGAGAAGAAAGAUAAGUCAGAUUUUAGUGUGAGAUGAGGGGUCAGAGCCUCAGAAGCACUUCCUCGGAGGAGCACCCAGAGUUUGAUUUGUGUCCCCAACUGGACUCCCGAUGCUGGUGGGGCCUCCAUCCGACAGUGCACAGUCCAUUGCCCAACUUUUCCCCUCUUAUUCAGAACGCUGGAUUCAAAAAUAGUUUCCCCUGAUAGCUUAAAGGAUGGACCUGACGUGUACCAAUGUUAAGUUAUAAUCACGAUUCUUCAGGCUGUUUCUUUAGAAGACCUCAAGUAGUUGCAAGCUCCAGCUGUCUCUGCUGAAAAAGAGAAAGUCAAUUCUCCCUGUUGCAAAAACUUUUGGAGCAGCAGGAAACCAACCUGUCAACUGAAAUUGAUUUAUUCACUCGACUGGAAUGACCCGACCCACUUGACACAUCUGAGAGGGGGCAGUUUACUUUCAUUCAACCCACAGAUUCGGGCUGAUCAUCAUGCAAUAACGAAACAUUUGCCUGAGCAAGUCAGGGUAGAAAUGACCAUGCCCACUUAAUGGAGAAAAUGAAGCACAAAUUUCACAGUCACCCAAGAGAGAUACUCACUUCUAGCCUAGUAAUAUGCUCACCAGAUCAUCCCGAUGGUUUCCUUAGGUGUAGGAUGAAUUCCAGGCUUCCUUUGCAUCUCUAUGUGUCUUUUUCCCUUAAUCAGAAAGCCAAAUGCUAGAGCUUCUUUACCACCACAGGAAAGAGAAAUCUAGGUUUGCAAUUUUUCCUCCCACUUAUUCCUAAAUAUCUGGUAGCCUCUCUUUUCUUCACAACAGUCCCUUUCAACCUCUCUUGCUCUUGUUUAGAAUAAUUCUUUGUAAGUUCUGUCUGCGUCUACAGCUUGCAGGCUGAGGAAGAGCUCAGAGCCCUGACAAGCUAAGUUUGAUUCUAUGACAAGCUGGCUGCAGGCAUUUGGUCCAUGAGGAAAUGACAUGUGCAACCAUGUUAGCUUCCAAAACUUCCACCUGGCCUUGAUCACCCAGGGUCUCCAGACACUCGUGUGUGUUGAUCUUGGGAUGCAAAACAGCUGCUGGCCUCUGAGGCGUCUCGGUAACUAUGGAGACAGGAACAUAAACAUCAAUGAGGAUGUCAGGAAGCAGGCAGCCGGUGUUAGGAGUGAAAGCAUCGGCGAGGCUGAUCUGGCAUUGGCGGCAUGUGCUGCAAAUGAUGAAAACAGGAUUCCAAGGCCUCUCUGCUAUCAGGCGGGAUGGCUGUAGCUUUAAAGUGGGGCACCUCUGCUCUCCCUCCUUUUCAUUCAGUUGCUUAGAUAUUCAUUUGUUUAUUGCACAAAUAUGUCCUGAGGGGCUGCUACGUGCAAGACACAGUGUAGGCAGUGGAGAUAGAGGCGAAGAAGGCAGAGUCCCUGUCCUCACAGAGCUUCCCAGGAUAGGAGACUUUCAAGCUAAAACUGGGACAGUCCUGGGGACACUUGGACAAGUUGGUCACCCUACUGAGGGGACAGACCAUUAAGUAUGCAUAUAAAUACGAUGAAGAAACUGAGGCACGAGGAGGCGUGAGAACUCUCCCACCUUCACAGAGCCAAUGGUGGCAGAGAAUCAGCCUUCAAGCCCAGGUGGUCCAGCUCCAGAGAGAGGCAGAAGGAGUUUUGACAUAGACCCACACAGAUGUGACGUGAUGAAGCGAUAUGAUCUCUGUGAAGUGACGUGAAGACAGAGGCAGAGACCGGAGUGAUGCAGCCACAAGCCAAGGAACACCUGCCACCACCAGACAGGCAAGGAGACUCCACAGUGCCUCCGUAGGAAGUGCGGCCCUGCUGAUAGCUUGAGUUCAGACUCCUGGGCUCCAGAACUGGGAGAGAAUAAA
Long non-coding RNA from Equus caballus (horse), 3908 nucleotides. The record is from Ensembl. NCBI's taxonomy places the organism in Eukaryota, Metazoa, Chordata, Mammalia, Perissodactyla, Equidae.